Molecule: small nuclear RNA, 314 nt
Filed under: Canis lupus familiaris (dog)
Lineage: Eukaryota; Metazoa; Chordata; Mammalia; Carnivora; Canidae
Also listed under: 1 other name
Description: 7SK RNA
Rfam family: 7SK RNA
About the family: 7SK was discovered as an abundant small nuclear RNA in the mid-70s but a possible function has only recently been suggested. Two independent studies have found that 7SK RNA binds the CDK9/cyclin T complex (known as elongation factor P-TEFb).
Source: Rfam by way of RNAcentral
GGAUGUGAGAGUGAUCUGGUUGCCACAUCUGUCACCCUGUUGAUCGCUAGGGUUGAUACAGCUACUCUGGGUGGUGGGUGUCCCCUUCCUCCCUCACCGCUCCAUGUGCAUCCCUCCGGAUGCUGCGUGCUCAGAGAGAAUGACCUUCCCCACCCUCUCCGAAUUGUCAGGGGUGUACGAGUAGGUGCGCUCCCCUGCUAGAACCUCCAGACAAGCUCUCAAAGUCCAUUUGUAGGAGAACAUAGGGUAGUCAAGCUUCCAAGACCUUAGACACGUCCAAAUAAAGCAUUACAUGUGGCAGUUCGCCUUUCUUU